UCCAGCAGACAGCUCCCCUGCCUCUCUGCAGUCAGGGCUGAUGAGGGGUGGGGGGAGCUGGUACAAAUUACCGGGCCUGGCGGUCUGGAGGGGAGCCCCACCAGAGUGUGUGCAUAGGCAACAAUAACACUCCUUCAGAGACAUUCAUUGCUGCCUCUCGGUUUUCAAGCGAGAAGUGAGGAGUGCAGCCUUUCAGGGAGCGGGAGGGAGAAAUAGUGGCAGGGAUUGAGGGCUCCUGGCUGGGCUUAGGGCUAGAGCAGCUGGCGGCAGUUCAAGCUGCUCCCCGCAGGAUCCUUAGAAAAAUAAAGGGAGAGGAGAUAAUCCACCCCCAAACACACAGAAACAGCUCGCUGAUGAGCCAGACUCGCUCCCCCACCUGCCUGUGCCUGCACUGUAAGGCAAGGCGCAAAGGAGCAGCAGAGCUGCAGGGAAGGCGAGAAGAAGGAGCAGAGGCAGAGAGGCACACUAGAGUCUUGACUUUUUGUUCAGCGGCAAAGAGAAAUCAAAAGGCUGAUGAAAUCCUGAAUCAUAUGACUAGAGGAGACUUGUUUUCCUUCACAUCAGUCAUAUUUAUGCUACAGCAUCAGGCAAUACCAAGUCUUCUUUGAUACCCAAGGCAGCCUUCAUUCUCUAGCCCCAUAAGAGAAGAAAAGGGAGAAAAUAUCAAUUCUUGAUCACUGGAGAUGUUUGUUCAUCAUGUUCUCUGUUCCCUGUGAAUGCAAAAAAUAAGCCUGUUGGAAAGCUCACAGAAGUGUAAUUGACUCUAUGGAGCAGCUGUCAUAGGAGGUUUUACUAUAAGAAAUCAUAUUAGCUUUCCUUUUAAACUUGCUGAAGGUAAUAAGUCAUCCUUGACAUUCACAAGUCAUUCAACAAAAUGUCUUUUUUCCACCAACACAGUAUGCCUGGCAUGUAAUUAAUAUCAGAUUUGUAAAGGGCUCAGAUGCAUGCCAUUUUCAAGGCAACCUGCAAAGCUGAAUGAAAGAAACAGGUUUGUGGGUUUAUUUUUAGCCUAGAACAUUAAUAUACAUACAAAAGCAUUAGUGUUGUUGUUGUUGUUAUUUGGCUGACAUACUGCACAACGGUACAUCAGCCUGGUAAAGUUGCAUACAUGCAAGUUGUGCGAAGGCCAUUAUACAAGAAUAAGCCCACUGGAAAUAAUGGGCUAAUGUUUGUGUAACAUUAUUUGCACAAAUUUUGUAUUUGUGCAGCUUGCAUGCAUGCAAAGUUACUAGGCUGAUUUACCAUUGCAGAGUAUGUCAGCCAAUAUUAAUUGUUAUUGUCGUUAUGGAAGUGGUAAUUUUCAUUCAUCUCCCCUUCCCUCUGAAGUUGACUGUGAAUCCUGAAAAUAAUAUGUCCUUGAUGACUGUGUAACUUUCAGGAACAUAUUGCAGGAGGGCACAGUGGGCUUCUGACGGAAGAGUUGAAGACAAAAAUCAUUUCUUCCCUAUAGUGCUUGCUUCACUUUUGUUACACUAGUGCUUUUCAGUCUGGAUGUUGGCAAUUAUUAUUAUUACUAUCAUUGUUAUUGCUAUUGUUGUUGUAAAAAACAAGAGAGAGAGAGAGUAUACCACUGUAUAUUUUAUGUACCAAAAAGUCAACUGGCAAGUUGAACAGUGGUACUGAGAAAGACAAUGAAAACUGACCAAGCAAUGCUCAUAAAUUGUCCAGAGUAAAUGAAGUCAAAUAGGACACUGGCUUAGAGUAAAAUAAAAAUAAAUAAAUUUCAUUUUAAGGGUGUGAUUAUUAAACUGAGGAAUUGUCUAUUGAUGCUGUGAAGUUCAUGGAUAUUUCCAACAUAUUGGUUGGAAAUUGGUUUUCUUUUUAAUGUCUAUCCCAACUGACUGAGGGCCAAAUUACAUGUGAUAUUAAAUAUUUCAUUAGCCA
This is a long non-coding RNA of Hemicordylus capensis (graceful crag lizard), 1884 nucleotides long. RefSeq lists it as uncharacterized. The transcript has 3 exons. The record is from RefSeq and is a predicted model, not a curated record. NCBI's taxonomy places the organism in Eukaryota, Metazoa, Chordata, Lepidosauria, Squamata, Cordylidae.